This 1003-nucleotide long non-coding RNA is filed under the name Pan troglodytes (chimpanzee). RNAcentral's name for it is "long non-coding RNA NONPTRT018378". The record is from RNAcentral. Lineage: Eukaryota; Metazoa; Chordata; Mammalia; Primates; Hominidae.
AUUGACAACACUAUAGGUUUGAAAAGGAAAGUUUUAUUAGAUAGAAAGAACACUGCAGAAGACCGCAGCAGAGGACUUCAGCAAGAGAGAACUAAGUGUAUCAUGGUGGAUUUUUCCUAAGGGUUUGUCAGUUUCAAAUACUCAUGUAUCUGAUUGUCAAUGCUGGAGAGCUGGGGCCAGGGCAGUAGUUGAUGGAUAUCACCUGACUGUCUCCUGCAGCAAAAGCAUUCCCAGAAGCACGGAGAAGUGAGGAGAAAAGGCAAUGCACCUGGAGCUGGAGACCAAGACCCCGUUCUUACUGAUGGCCCUUGGAGCAGAUAUUUGAAUUGGAGAGAUAAAACCGUGGUUUUUGGGGUGUUAAUUUUGGUGGCUGAUGCAUUCUGUGAUUGAUUUGGCUAUUACAACUGGUAUUGAUUUUAAACACAUUAAUUGCAAAAUCUCAAUUGUGAUUUGAUUUCUGUAUUUACAAUACUAAAAACGAGGCUUUCGCCAGGAGAAGACAAUUGGCAGUACUCAGUUGGAAGUGCUUAAUUGUUAAUAUAUAUCAGCCGUGGUUCUUCAGCGUCGUCAGUGUUGCUCAGUCUUGCUCUUUGUGGCGACUACUGAAUGCUUGAAAAAUUCUCUCCUAUACUCCCACUCUGCGCUGUAGAAGAGAAAGAGAGGAGAGUGGAAGAAAAAAGAGAGGGAGAGGAGAAAGAAAGAAAGGAGAGAGAAACAUGGGCAUGGAUGAUACAUAAGGUAGUUGUAAACUGUGAUCAGCUUUGAUAAUAACUAGAUAAAUUCUUUUAAUACAAAAAUAUAUAAGGCAUUUUGCCUUUUUUUCAAAUUUCAAAUAAAUGGAUUUGUAUAGAAUGUAGUCUGUUGCCCAGAGUUUUCAUUUAGCAUAAUGCAUUUGAGAUUUAUCCAUGUUGCUGUAUAUUCUUUUUAUUGCUGAGUAGUAUUCCAUUGUGUGGAUAUACCAGUUUGUUUAUCCAUUAACCUUUGAUGGAUAUUUGGGUUUUUU